Rhododendron vialii is the source of this 1398-nucleotide long non-coding RNA. RefSeq lists it as uncharacterized. The transcript has 2 exons. The record is from RefSeq and is a predicted model, not a curated record. Lineage: Eukaryota; Viridiplantae; Streptophyta; Magnoliopsida; Ericales; Ericaceae.
CUGGAUAAAGGAAAAGAAAAAUAAACCAAAUAAGUACAAGUUACUUAAGAACCAAAUAGGACCUAAGAACAUACUUUUUUGUUUAAAAAAGUAAUCACACUUGUUGUCUUUUGGUGUCAAGCUCAUCUUCGUCAAACUCACAUCUUCAUAAUUCAAUCUCUUGAGAGCUCCAAUAAGAUUUAUCAUCCUGUAUUUAUCCUAAAAUUAGAUUUUACCAUAAUCAAUUGACCAUACGGUUGGACCACUAAAAGCAAACAAAAUGUAUACACAUAGUCCAUGAGUCCAUACAAGUUCAAGGAACAGGCCAAUAGAUUCUAAUCCUCCAAUCAAGGAAAUAAAACCAAUUAAGAUUGAAACUAUAUGAGUUUCUAAUAAGUCAAACUACUCCAAGGUGUCAACUAUAAAAAUCCUGAAGAACAAUCAACUAAAAAAAAUAAAAAAUAAAAAAAUAAAACACCCUAAAGAACAAUCAAGGGAUUUACUGAAACAGGGCCUUCAAAUAUCAAGUCAUUUAGCCUUAUGAUUAGGCUACUAAAGAAAGAAAAAAAAAAGUUUACUUUAUAGGAAAGCUAAUGUCUUUGAAACUUAGGAUUUCAAACAUGUAAUACACUGCUCUACUUGGAUUUAUUUCCUCUUGUUUUAAUGCGUAGUCCAACAUUCUUGCCCGGAUAAAAAAGAAGGGGGUUCUUGCUACCUAAGUCAAAGCUGACCAAUACUAUUGACUUUAUAAAACUAUGUCUUCACAAAAAAAAAUUCAAAACGCCAACUAAAUAUAAUAUGAAUUUCUUCGUUUGAAACUAGGGGUGGCACCAACCCCACCCCCUCCACUUAACAAAUGAACCACAGAGAUACCAUGGUUCAAAAUUCCAAUCUCCAACUACAAAUUCCAACUUCCAGCAUCUAAAUAGUUGACCACUGAAAAAUAACUUCUAUGGCCCUAAAGGAAAACCCCAAUUCAGCACUCACUCCAGACUAUGUAUGGCCAUGGGAUGAAUCAGAUCGAUCUAACAGAAACGUGUUAGAUCAAUAAGUCAUGACUUGUUAGAUCAAUCUAACAGAAACUUGUUAGAAUAGCUUCUUCAAAUGUAGCUUUAGUGAUCCGGGCACCUGUGGUCAAGAGCAGCUAUUCCUUUCUUAAUCUCUCUGCACAUAACUGGAGGAAUGAGAACAUAUAAGACCAACCACUAGGUGAAGACAAUGGAAAGCUAAUACAAUUAGUCAAUGCAAAGCUAAAAUGAUUGACCAUACGUUCCGUAAGCUGGGUGAAGAAACUAAUUACAUUUAUUUGGCAGCUUGGCUACCAGAUAGAGUUUUUGACCCAACCUGCUCAACUCGUAAGGUUUACACAGAAGGUGCCAGGGAUGUUCUCUCUGCUCUAAAUGGAAUUAAUGGUAAAUA